RNAcentral lists this ribosomal RNA (413 nucleotides) under uncultured bacterium. RNAcentral's name for it is "bacterial SSU rRNA". It matches the Rfam family "Bacterial small subunit ribosomal RNA", at positions 917 to 1333 of the family's 1533-position model. The record is from RNAcentral.
GGGCCCGCACAAGCGGUGGAGCAUGUGGUUUAAUUCGAUGAUACGCGAGGAACCUUACCAGGGCUUAAAUGUAAGUUGCAUAAGCUAGAGAUAGCUUUUUCUUCGGACUACUUACAAGGUGCUGCAUGGUUGUCGUCAGCUCGUGCCGUGAGGUGUCAGGUUAAGUCCUAUAACGAGCGCAACCCCUGUUGUUAGUUGCCAUCGAGUAAUGUCGGGAACUCUAACAAGACUGCCGGUGCAAACCGCGAGGAAGGUGGGGAUGACGUCAAAUCAUCACGGCCCUUACGUCCUGGGCUACACACGUGCUACAAUGGCCGGUACAGAGAGCAGCCACUACGCGAGUAGGAGCGAAUCUAUAAAACCGGUCUCAGUUCGGAUCGCAGUCUGCAACUCGACUGCGUGAAGCUGGAAUC